GAUGAACGCUGGCGGCGUGCCUAAUACAUGCAAGUCGAGCGAACAGACGAGGAGCUUGCUCCUCUGACGUUAGCGGCGGACGGGUGAGUAACACGUGGAUAACCUACCUAUAAGACUGGGAUAACUUCGGGAAACCGGAGCUAAUACCGGAUAAUAUAUUGAACCGCAUGGUUCAAUAGUUAAAGACGGUUUUGCUGUCACUUAUAGAUGGAUCCGCUACGCAUUAGCUAGUUGGUAAGGUAACGGCUUACCAAGGCAACGAUGCGUAGCCGACCUGAGAGGGUGAUCGGCCACACUGGAACUGAGACACGGUCCAGACUGCUACGGGAGGCAGCAGUAGGGAAUCUUCCACAAUGGGCGAAAGCCUGACGGAGCAACGCCGCGUGAGUGAUGAAGGUCUUCGGAUCGUAAAACUCUGUUAUUAGGGAAGAACAAAUGUGUAAGUAACUAUGCACGUCUUGACGGUACCUAAUCAGAAAGCCACGGCUAACUACGUG
RNAcentral lists this ribosomal RNA (497 nucleotides) under uncultured bacterium. RNAcentral describes it as "partial 16S ribosomal RNA". It matches the Rfam family "Bacterial small subunit ribosomal RNA", at positions 28 to 507 of the family's 1533-position model. The record is from RNAcentral.